GAUGAAGAACGUAGCGAAAUGCGAUAAGUAGUGUGAAUUGCAGAAUUCAGUGAAUCAUCGAAUCUUUGAACGCACAUUGCGCCCUUUGGUAUUCCAAAGGGCAUGCCUGUUCGAGCGUCAUUUGUACCCUCAAGCUUUGCUUGGUGUUGGGCGUCUUGUCUCUAGCUUUGCUGGAGACUCGCCUUAAAGUAAUUGGCAGCCGGCCUACUGGUUUCGGAGCGCAGCACAAGUCGCACUCUCUAUCAGCAAAGGUCUAGCAUCCAUUAAGCCUUUUUUUUUCAACUUUUGACCUCGGAUCAGGUAGGGAUACCCGCUGAACUUAAGCAUAUCAAUAAGCGGAGGA
RNAcentral lists this unclassified non-coding RNA (343 nucleotides) under soil metagenome. Its description in RNAcentral is "partial contains 5.8S ribosomal RNA, internal transcribed spacer 2, and large subunit ribosomal RNA". The stretch from base 1 to 120 matches the Rfam family "5.8S ribosomal RNA", at positions 35 to 154 of the family's 154-position model. The record is from RNAcentral.